CGGACGGGUGAGUAACGCGUGGGUAACCUGCCUCAUACAGGGGGAUAACAGUUAGAAAUGACUGCUAAUACCGCAUAAGCCCACGGGUCGGCAUCGACCUGAGGGAAAAGGAGCAAUCCGCUUUGAGAUGGCCUCGCGUCCGAUUAGCUAGUUGGUGAGGUAACGGCCCACCAAGGCGACGAUCGGUAGCCGGACUGAGAGGUUGAACGGCCACAUUGGGACUGAGACACGGCCCAG
RNAcentral lists this ribosomal RNA (237 nucleotides) under uncultured bacterium. Its description in RNAcentral is "partial 16S ribosomal RNA". It matches the Rfam family "Bacterial small subunit ribosomal RNA", at positions 99 to 334 of the family's 1533-position model. The record is from RNAcentral.